GGUCCCAUGGUGUAAUGGUCAGUAUUCAGGACUCUGAAUCCUGAGAUCUGAGUUCAUAUCUCAGUGGGACCU
Emys orbicularis (European pond turtle) is the source of this 72-nucleotide non-coding RNA. The record is from the annotation of a RefSeq genome assembly. Lineage: Eukaryota; Metazoa; Chordata; Testudines; Emydidae.